CCUACGGGCGGCAGCAGUGAGGAAUAUUGGUCAAUGGACGAGAGUCUGAACCAGCCAAGUAGCGUGAAGGAUGACUGCCCUAUGGGUUGUAAACUUCUUUUAUAUGGGAAUAAAAUGUUCCACGUGUGGGAUUUUGUAUGUACCAUAUGAAUAAGGAUCGGCUAACUCCGUGCCAGCAGCCGCGGUAAUACGGAGGAUCCGAGCGUUAUCCGGAUUUAUUGGGUUUAAAGGGAGCGUAGGUGGAUUGUUAAGUCAGUUGUGAAAGUUUGCGGCUCAACCGUAAAAUUGCAGUUGAAACUGGCAGUCUUGAGUACAGUAGAGGUGGGCGGAAUUCGUGGUGUAGCGGUGAAAUGCUUAGAUAUCACGAAGAACACCGAUUGCGAAGGCAGUUCACUGGACUGCAACUGACACUGAGGCUCGAAAGUGUGGGUAUCAAACAGGAUUAGAUACCCUUGUAGUC
This 460-nucleotide ribosomal RNA is filed under the name uncultured bacterium. RNAcentral's name for it is "partial 16S ribosomal RNA". It matches the Rfam family "Bacterial small subunit ribosomal RNA", at positions 338 to 795 of the family's 1533-position model. The record is from RNAcentral.